Non-coding RNA from Sanguibacter keddieii DSM 10542, 124 nucleotides. NCBI's taxonomy places the organism in Bacteria, Bacillati, Actinomycetota, Actinomycetes, Micrococcales, Sanguibacteraceae. The record is from Rfam.
CACGUGCUCUGGGGUCGGUGAAAAUCCGAGCCGGCGGUGAUAGUCCGCGACCCGCGUCUCGACGCGGUUGAUCUGGUGCAACUCCAGGACCGACGGUCAAAGUCCGGAUGGGAAGAGUCUCGUG